RNAcentral lists this unclassified non-coding RNA (375 nucleotides) under soil metagenome. RNAcentral describes it as "partial contains 5.8S ribosomal RNA, internal transcribed spacer 2, and large subunit ribosomal RNA". The stretch from base 1 to 120 matches the Rfam family "5.8S ribosomal RNA", at positions 35 to 154 of the family's 154-position model. The record is from RNAcentral.
GAUGAAGAACGUAGCGAAAUGCGAUAAGUAAUGUGAAUUGCAGAAUUCAGUGAAUCAUCGAAUCUUUGAACGCACAUUGCGCCCGCCAGUAUUCUGGCGGGCAUGCCUGUUCGAGCGUCAUUUCAACCCUCAAGACCCCUUCGGGGGACUUGGUGUUGGGGACCGGCACAGGGGCCUGCCUGCUUGUCUUGCAGCGCCCUCGCCGCCCCCGAAAUGAAUUGGCGGCCUCGUCGCGGCCUCCCCUGCGUAGUAGCACAACCUCGCAACGGGAACGUGACGGCGGCCACUGCCGCAAAACAACCCCAAUUUUAUUAGAGUUGACCUCGAAUCAGGUAGGAAUACCCGCUGAACUUAAGCAUAUCAAUAAGCGGAGGA